Molecule: long non-coding RNA, 470 nt
Organism: Bubalus bubalis (water buffalo)
Lineage: Eukaryota; Metazoa; Chordata; Mammalia; Artiodactyla; Bovidae
Exons: 3
Source: RefSeq, a predicted model, not a curated record
UUUGACUUUGCAACAGCAGAAAAACAUAAAGCCUCUUUAUUGGAUGCAGAUGCUAGAAACCAAUGUCAUGAUCCCCAGGGGAUUUGUUCCAUAGCCCACAAGAGCCCUGAUGCUGGAAGAACUCUGAAUUCCCAGGCGCUGCCCCAGGCAUAUUAAUAUAUCGGAAUGAAGACACAUAUUUCAGGGAAUUAUCAGCAUACAGAUGGUAUCUGAAGUCAUGGGAAUGGUUGAAAUGGUCCAAGGAAUGAAAAGAAACUGAGAAGUGAAGAAGGCUGAGGACCAAAUUUAGUGAAUGGGCCUGAAGGAGGAUCAGGAAGAAGUGAGAGAGAAUGUGUAAACUAUGGUGCAAGUCAGCAACUUACAUAGGGAAGACUAUGAAUGUGUUUUCUUGACUUGGUGAGACAGGAGAUAAGUUACAGGAGCGAAAGAGGAAGAAAACAGACACCGGAUAGUGGAAAAAGCUGUGACUU